UACGUAGGGUGCAAGUGUUAAUCGGAAUUACUGGGCGUAAAGCGUGCGCAGGCGGUUAUAUAAGACAGAUGUGAAAUCCCCGGGCUCAACCUGGGAACUGCAUUUGUGACUGUAUAGCUAGAGUACGGUAGAGGGGGAUGGAAUUCCGCGUGUAGCAGUGAAAUGCGUAGAUAUGCGGAGGAACACCGAUGGCGAAGGCAAUCCCCUGGGCCUGUACUGACGCUUAUGCACGAAAGCGUGGGGAGCAAACAGG
This 253-nucleotide ribosomal RNA is filed under the name uncultured bacterium. RNAcentral describes it as "partial 16S ribosomal RNA". It matches the Rfam family "Bacterial small subunit ribosomal RNA", at positions 524 to 776 of the family's 1533-position model. The record is from RNAcentral.